CAGCAACCCUGAAAAAUGUACCGUCUGAAACUGACAAAGAUUGGCAACACACGUCAGCUCAGGUGCCAAUAUUGCAAAGAAAACACACACACACACAAACACAGACACUGAGGGACGUGGAGACCUGGGGAAAAAGCAACACUGAGAAAUCUACCCUCUGAAACUGACGAAUAUGGGCAACAGAGGCUAGCUCAGGUUCAAUAUUUGAGCAAAAAAUACCACACAAGGGCGUGGAGACCCUGGGAAAGAGCAACACUGAGAAAUCUACCCUCUGAAACUGACCAUGGUCGUCAACAGAGGCUAGCUCAGGUUCAAUCUUUGAUCAAAAAGAACACACAAGGGCGUGGAGAACUUGGGAAAGAGCAACACGGAGAAAUCUACCCUCUGAAACUGACAAGGAUUGGCAACACACGUCAGCUCAGGUGCCAACCAUUAGGCAGAAAAAAAAGACACAAGGGCGUCGAGAUCUGGCGAAACAGCAACACUGAGAAAUCCGCCAUCUUAAACUGAGGAAGCAGGGCAACAGAGGCUAGCUCAGGGGACAAUCGUAAAGCAAAACAAACA
This 564-nucleotide long non-coding RNA is filed under the name Equus asinus (donkey). Its description in RNAcentral is "lncRNA (ENSEASG00005028920.1)". The record is from RNAcentral. Lineage: Eukaryota; Metazoa; Chordata; Mammalia; Perissodactyla; Equidae.